RNAcentral lists this ribosomal RNA (485 nucleotides) under Emiliania huxleyi. RNAcentral describes it as "partial Bacterial large subunit ribosomal RNA". It matches the Rfam family "Bacterial large subunit ribosomal RNA", at positions 2152 to 2636 of the family's 2925-position model. The record is from RNAcentral. Lineage: Eukaryota; Haptophyta; Isochrysidales; Noelaerhabdaceae.
AGGCUUUGAAGCACAGUCGCUAGAUUGUGUGGAGCCGUCCUUGAAAUACCACCCUUGUAUGUUUGAUGUUCUAACAUUGUUCCCUUAUCGGGAAUGUGGACAGUGUCUGGUGGGUAGUUUGACUGGGGCGGUCUCCUCCCAAAUAGUAACGGAGGAGCACGAAGGUUAGCUAAUCACGGUCGGACAUCGUGAGGUUAGUGCAAUGGCAUAAGCUAGCUUAACUGCGAGACAGACACGUCGAGCAGAUACGAAAGUAGGUUCUAGUGAUCCGGUGGUUCUGUAUGGAAGGGCCAUCGCUCAACGGAUAAAAGGUACUCCGGGGAUAACAGGCUGAUACCGCCCAAGAGUUCACAUCGACGGCGGUGUUUGGCACCUCGAUGUCGGCUCAUCACAUCCUGGGGCUGAAGUCGGUCCCAAGGGUAUGGCUGUUCGCCAUUUAAAGUGGUACGCGAGCUGGGUUUAGAACGUCGUGAGACAGUUCGGUC